AAAUUGAAGAGUUUGAUCAUGGCUCAGAUUGAACGCUGGCGGUAGGCCUAACACAUGCAAGUCGAACGGUAACAGGAAGCAGCUUGCUGCUU
Molecule: ribosomal RNA, 92 nt
Filed under: Escherichia coli
Lineage: Bacteria; Pseudomonadati; Pseudomonadota; Gammaproteobacteria; Enterobacterales; Enterobacteriaceae
Also listed under: 1 other name
Description: partial 16S ribosomal RNA
Rfam family: Bacterial small subunit ribosomal RNA
Source: RNAcentral